This 406-nucleotide ribosomal RNA is filed under the name uncultured bacterium. Its description in RNAcentral is "partial 16S ribosomal RNA". It matches the Rfam family "Bacterial small subunit ribosomal RNA", at positions 30 to 526 of the family's 1533-position model. The record is from RNAcentral.
AUUGAACGCUGGCGGCAGGCCUAACACAUGCAAGUCGAACGAGUGGCGGACGGGUGAGUAAUGUCUGGGAAACUGCCCGAUGGAGGGGGAUAAUUACUGGAAACGGUAGCUAAUACCGCAUACCAUCGGAUGUGCCCAGAUGGGAUUAGCUUGUGGGGGGGGUAACGGCUCACCUAGGCGACGAACCCUAGCUGGUCUGAGAGGAGGACCAGCCACACGGGAACUGAGACACGUUCCAGACUCCUACGGGAGGAAGCAGUGGGGAAUAUUGCACAAUGGGGGAAAGCCUGAUGCAGCCAUGCCGCGUGUAUGAAGAAGGCCUUCGGGUUGUAAAGUACGUUCAGCGAGGAGGCGUUACUCGCAGAAGAAGCACCGGCUAACUCCGUGCCAGCAGCCGCGGUAAUUC